GGCGAAAUCGGGUAGUGGUUAUCUCGUCACGUUUAGGCCGUGAUGCUUAACGGCGCGUGGGUUCAAAUCCCACUUUCGUCA
RNAcentral lists this transfer RNA (81 nucleotides) under Plicaturopsis crispa FD-325 SS-3. RNAcentral describes it as "tRNA-Leu (TAG) (tRNA-Leu-TAG-1-1)". It matches the Rfam family "tRNA". Rfam says of the family: Transfer RNA (tRNA) molecules are approximately 80 nucleotides in length. Their secondary structure includes four short double-helical elements and three loops (D, anti-codon, and T loops). Lineage: Eukaryota; Fungi; Basidiomycota; Agaricomycetes; Amylocorticiales; Amylocorticiaceae. The record is from RNAcentral.